This 34-nucleotide transfer RNA is filed under the name Hylarana malayana (Malayan dark-side frog). RNAcentral's name for it is "partial tRNA-Trp". The record is from RNAcentral. Lineage: Eukaryota; Metazoa; Chordata; Amphibia; Anura; Ranidae.
AAUCUUAUAAUUAUAUAGAAACUUAGGAUAAUAA